CCUACCGUCCCAUCUACCGCACCCUUCCAACCUCGAGCUUCGCUAGUGGCAGACGUACGGCCGAGGAGAUGAAGCAACGGCGGCGUGCCACCGCCACCUCCGAUGCACAGCGGCCACGGCACCAUCGGCACAAGAUUCGCGUGGGGAGCCCAGCCGUCGAGCAAGAGAGGCCUACCAACGACCGGCCAGAUUAGAGUUCCCGUGACCCAUGCACCGACGGAAGACCCUGGCCCCGCCUCCUCUAAACGUCGCAGUUCUUCUCCACGAAGAUUGUGCCCUUCAUAGUCUGACGGGGCGGUCACUGUUGUCAACAUCUUCGUGCUCUUCCUUCACGAGGGAAAUAGCAGAUGGUGUCGUCCAUGGCGUCGUCCCCAGCUCUAGCACGUCGGAGAUGACGGGCCACCAGUCAACACGAGCUCUACCAUGGUUUAUGGCGAGGAGAGAAGAAGUGGUCGUUCGGGUUCUGCGAGAAUGACAAGUGCAGGUUCAUGUACACUAUUGUUUGAUAAAUUGGUGGCAAAUAGCUGUGUGAGCUUCAUUUGGUCAGGUUCUUUCGACUGCAUGAUACAUGAGACAUGGAUUCCUAUGGAUUGUUCAAGUGCGUUCAGUGUUAACGGAUGGAAUACUGAAUAGCCUUGGCCAUAAUGAGCAGGUGAGUCUUAUCAUCUUGCAUCUUCGUCACAUCUCAUGCAUUUCAUAUUGAUAUGGUACAAAACAUGCAACAGAAGUGCUACUAUAUUUUUAUUUCCUUGUCUCCUCUGAUUUAUUAUCAAAGAAAAGAACCACAUGUUGUUACUUGAAAGAGGCAAAGGUCUCAAAGAUCUCAAAGUUCCUUCUUCAUUUUUUAAGUUGGCAGUUCCAAACUUCACACAAGUAUCUUCUCUUGUACAUAGAAGAAGUACAAUAUGGUCGACUGCAGGUGCCUCCCCAGGGACACAGCUACUACCGUCACUGUUGAAAGAAUCACAGUUGUACUGGAAGGUCCUUCCUGCUUGUUGUGUCUGCCUUCUCAUCUUAUUUAUGAUCGUUUAUGUGAAGAAGCAGCAACAACUUGAUUUGUUUUCUUGUGUAGUAAUAUGUGAGUUGCAUUUGCAGACAUAUAUGGUUCAAGUCACUCUAUGUUAGUUAGAUGUUAUUAGUGUUUUUCUAUCAGACAUGGUUCUGCAAUAGGCUUGACUGCCUAAGUCUCACUCAGAUUUUAGACUUGAUCAAUAACUGCUUCCUUCCAUUAAGAUGUGAGGUCCCGAUCCCAAUGACAGAGCAUCAUCGCUGAACUAAUGUUCCUGAGAGUUCACUAUUUGAUUUUGUUGAACCAUGCAAGUUCAAAAUUUGAUGAAGCCAUGCAACUGGUAGAUGCUUCAACAAGGCAUAUAUUUGCAGUGUUCGGUAAGUAUCGUGUUCCUUCUGUACUCGAUAAAUUAGUGUUGUAUUUGCCUGGUAUGAGGAAGAUAGUGCAAUGCCGACAGAUAUAGUUGUAUUUGCCGGGUGUUAGUUUACAAGUGUUGUGUCGAAAGCAGGUUGAGGAGAACACAUAUGCACGGCCAGCUGCGCGGAUUAGGCGAUGGAACCAAUAACAGGAGAAAGGACGGAAAAUAUGAAGGAGAUGGUGAGUCUGGCAUUGGCAGUCGUCUGCAAAUGUGUCAUGGUCGGAUUAGGUCCAGCUAAUCAAUUCUUUUUGGGCAGCACUAGAGAAUUGAUGAAUGCAUGUUGUACAAUUGUCUAUGAUCUUCUCUGAUUUUCUAACAAAUGUGAAAUGUUGAUCAACUAAUAUUUGAGAUGUAAAUUGAUAUUCAAUUGUAGAAAUUGAUAUAUGUACUUCCUUCAUUCUCUGCUAUUUUUUUAUACUA
This is a long non-coding RNA of Triticum aestivum (bread wheat), 1847 nucleotides long. RefSeq lists it as uncharacterized. NCBI's taxonomy places the organism in Eukaryota, Viridiplantae, Streptophyta, Magnoliopsida, Poales, Poaceae. The record is from RefSeq and is a predicted model, not a curated record. The transcript has 5 exons.